GAUGAACGCUGGCGGCGUGCCUAAUACAUGCAAGUCGAGCGAACAGACGAGGAGCUUGCUCCUCUGACGUUAGCGGCGGACGGGUGAGUAACAUGUGGAUAACCUACCUAUAAGACUGGGAUAACUUUGGGAAACAGGAGCUAAUACCGGAUAAUAUAUUGAACCGCAUGGUUCAAUAGUGAAAGACGGUAUUGCUGUCACUUAUAGAUGGCCCCGCGCCGCAUUAGUUAGUUGGUAAGGUAACGGCUUACCAAGGCAACGAUGCGUAACCGACCUAAAAGGGUGAUCGGACACACUGGAACUGAGGCACGGCCCAGACACCUAGAGGGGGCAACAGUAGGGAAUCUUCCGCGAUGGAGGAAAGCCGAACGGAGCAACGCGGCGUGAGUGAUGAAGGUCUUCGGAUCGUAAAACUCUGUUAUUAGGGAAGAAGAAAUGUGUAAGUAACUAUGCACAUCUUGACGGUACCUAAUCAGAAAGCCACGGCUAACUACGUG
This 497-nucleotide ribosomal RNA is filed under the name uncultured bacterium. RNAcentral describes it as "partial 16S ribosomal RNA". It matches the Rfam family "Bacterial small subunit ribosomal RNA", at positions 28 to 507 of the family's 1533-position model. The record is from RNAcentral.